AUUUGGAUAGAUUUUCAUGUGAAAACUAUUAUGGCAAUAGUGGAUAAAGUGAGCAAGUGAGAAAAGUAGGUAUAUCUCAACAAUUUGCUAAAGUUAUCAAAUUCUGCUUUUGCAUACAUACAUAAAGCUUGUUAAUAAAAGCGUAUCUACCUCGUAAAUUUCAUCAUUCAAAUGGACUGUCAUUGACUCUUCUUCAAGGUCCAAAUUCUGUUUUCAUUAUAGAAUAACAGUUUCCGUUGAGCUUGGUAGCACCUUGAAACCUUUACUCAAAGAAACUGUUUGUCGAGCAACGAGCAAAAGAAUGGUGCUGCAAAAGCUCCUCCUUGCUGCCUAGCUAGAAGAAGACGCAUAAGCUGCGAAAGUUAUUGAACUUGAUCAAACAUGUCCAUGUCAUUAUGGGCACAUAUGUGCUGCGCCUCAUAUGUAAGUUGCACGGAUUUGUUUCCUAUUUUACAACUUGCGUACUGUUGCUUGUGACGACUAUGGCUUAACAUCAAGAGAGCAAUUUGAGCUAAGACGUAAGGCCUUGUUCAUUUAAGCAGCAAAGCAAAACAGAUUUCAGCACAACAAAGCAGGUGUUAGCAGAGUAAAUUCAGUCAUCAAAGCAUAGCUCAACAAAAUAGAGCAGAUUUCAGCAGAUUAGAGUAUAGCGGAGCAGCUCUAAAGAACGAGGCCUAACUCUAAUAGAAAAGAGUAUUUGAGAGGGAUAGAGUUCAUUGUAUCACUUCUUUUCAUAACUACAAUUAAUUUCAUUUUCAUUACCAUUAUUUAUUACCUCCUAAUCCCUCUAUUUAAAUAAAUGAAAUGUUUUGAC
This is a long non-coding RNA of Chenopodium quinoa (quinoa), 814 nucleotides long. RefSeq lists it as uncharacterized. Lineage: Eukaryota; Viridiplantae; Streptophyta; Magnoliopsida; Caryophyllales; Amaranthaceae. The record is from RefSeq and is a predicted model, not a curated record. The transcript has 2 exons.